GGGGGGGGGGGGGGGGGGGGGGGGCGCGGGGGGGGCGAGCGGGGGGGCCCUGCGGGGGGGGGGUGCGCGGGGGGCGAGCGGGUGGGUGACGCGUGCGUCGCCUGCCCUGGCCUUGGGGAUACCUUCCGGCACCUGGGGCUAAUACCGGCUAGGCGCUCCUGCUGCGUGGUGGGGGUUGGAAGGUUGCGGCGGUUGGGGAGGGACUCGCGGCUUAUCAGCUGGUUGGUGGGGUAGUGGCUUACCAAGGCUUUGACGGGUCGCCUGCCUGAGAGGGUGACCGGCCACAUGGGGACUGAGAUACGGCCGAGACUCCUACGGGAGGCAGCAGUGGGGAAUAGUGCACAAUGGGCGGAAGCCUGAUGCAGCAACGCCGCGUGCGGGAUGACGGCCUUCGGGUUGUAAACCGCUUUCGCCUGUGACGAAGCGUGAGUGACGGUAAUGGGUAAAGAAGCACCGGCUAACUACGUG
RNAcentral lists this ribosomal RNA (468 nucleotides) under uncultured bacterium. RNAcentral describes it as "partial 16S ribosomal RNA". It matches the Rfam family "Bacterial small subunit ribosomal RNA", at positions 35 to 507 of the family's 1533-position model. The record is from RNAcentral.